GUUCUGGCUUCUGGGUGGCACUGUCUGGGGAGCAUUUUUCCAACGGCCUUGUUUUGCAGCCUCUGGACAAAUCCUAGGACGUGUCUUUCCAGGAUGCCUGUCAACAUUGACAUCGUGUAUCCCCAAAUAUUUGAAGGCUUUCUCCCUGUUUGUAACUUGUUUAUUCACAUCCUUUAUAGACUUCUCUGGUAUACGCGUGAACAAACACACGUCUGUCGCCCGUUAGACUGCGCCUCUGCGUCCACUCUUGCCUAUUUGGGGCCUAUGGAUUAGCGGCAAGAUCACUUCUUGAUCCAGCUGGUGUUGGACGAAGAAGCCAGCGUCUGGCACGUGGAGUUGCUGUGUGUUUUCAUGCAAGCAGAUACCUCCCUAGGCAAAUGGCAGUGUUAGGCAAAUGACAGGAUUUUAUUUGCACCUCCCUUUAUUCUGGUCUGUAUAUACACUUUGGUAUCAAAACACAAGUCAUUUCCAAGAAUACUUUGAUAAUGUGUAGGCAAUACGUUUUAUGUUAAAAGAUUCCAGCUUCAGCGAUAUAUGAUACAAACCUUAAAAUUCAGGAGGAUUUUCUAGGUCUGUAAGGGGACAAACAUGCAAAAUGUUCCUAAACCAGUGGUGGUGUAGCGGGGUCCCACUGCAGGAGGACAGAUGGCAUCUUUUCACCGUUGCUGGUGUAAGAAAGGAAGAAAACAGGACCCGGUGGGAUCCCAGGUUCCUGAAAGCCCUAAAUGAGCAAAACGCUUCAGCCCGUGCUAAUCCAGCAUGAUUGAGGCCCGCUCCGAGCAGUCCUUAGGGUCGGGACCAAACCUACCUGCUGAUGCCAGUUGUGGCGCAUGAAGGAUCUGGGUGCUCGUCUGCGCAGGGCAGGUGUUGGCAUUGCCCCUCGCUGGCCUGCAAGGGGCUCGUGGGGCGCUCAGGAGAAUCCGAGAAGUACCUGCUACAGGAAUUAGACGCCUCUGGAAUUUUAGCGACUGGUCAAAAUCCUCAUUUAGGCCAUUAAAUCGA
Molecule: long non-coding RNA, 1002 nt
Organism: Rhea pennata
Lineage: Eukaryota; Metazoa; Chordata; Aves; Rheiformes; Rheidae
Exons: 4
Source: RefSeq, a predicted model, not a curated record